AUUCUCCUGCCUCAGCCUCCUGAGAAAAAAUAAAUUUUUAAAAAGAAUCUAUUUUAGAGAAACAUGAAAUAUGAACGACAGUAGGGGGCACUUGUAUGACAGUGGAAUAAAGACAAGCAUGAGAGUGUUCAGUUUGAAAUGUGAACUUUUACUUGUUUCUUGGAAGUUCGUGUUUUUUUCCUCAUGCAACUUUCUGCAAAACUCAUGGUUGGAUUUUAAAUAUAAAAUAUUUGACAUGACCGAGUUAUAUUUAUUCUUUGUCAACUAAAGAUAGACUUCU
Sapajus apella (tufted capuchin) is the source of this 280-nucleotide long non-coding RNA. RefSeq lists it as uncharacterized. The record is from RefSeq and is a predicted model, not a curated record. Lineage: Eukaryota; Metazoa; Chordata; Mammalia; Primates; Cebidae. The transcript has 3 exons.